This 1701-nucleotide long non-coding RNA is filed under the name Salmo salar (Atlantic salmon). RNAcentral's name for it is "lncRNA (ENSSSAG00000087851.1)". The record is from RNAcentral. Lineage: Eukaryota; Metazoa; Chordata; Actinopteri; Salmoniformes; Salmonidae.
GUCUGUAGGGGUGAUGGGGAUUAGGUUGUAUACUACACUGUCUGUAGGGGUGAUGGGGAUUAGGUUGUAUACUAUACUGUCUGUAGGGGUGAUAGGGAUUAGGUUGUAUACUAUACUGUCUGUAGGGGUGAUGGGGAUUAGGUUGUAUACUGUCUGUAGGGGUGAUGGGGAUUAGGUUGUAUACUAUACUGUCUGUAGGGGUGAUGGGGAUUAGGUUGUAUACUGUCUGUAGGGGGAUGGGGAUUAGGUUGUAUACUAUACUGUCUGUAGGGGUGAUGGGGAUUAGGUUGUAUACUAUACUGUCUGUAGGGGUGAUAGGGAUUAGGUUGUAUACUAUACUGUCUGUAGGGGUGAUGGGGAUUAGGUUGUAUACUAUACUGUCUGUAGGGGUGAUAGGGAUUAGGUUGUAUACUAUACUGUCUGUAGGGGUGAUGGGGAUUAGGUUGUAUACUAUACUGUCUGUAGGGGUGAUGGGGAUUAGGUUGUAUACUAUACUGUCUGUAGGGGUGAUAGGGAUUAGGUUGUAUACUAUGCUGUCUGUAGGGGUGAUGGGGAUUAGGUUGUAUACUAUGCUGUCUGUAGGGGUGAUGGGGAUUAGGUUGUAUACUAUACUGUUUGUAGGGGUGAUGGGGAUUAGGUUGUAUACUGUCUGUAGGGGUGAUAGGGAUUAGGUUGUAUACUACACUGUCUGUAGGGGUGAUGGGGAUUAGAUUGUAUACUAUACUGUCUGUAGGGGUGAUGGGGAUUAGGUUGUAUUCUAUACUGUCUGUAGGGGUGAUGGGGAUUAGGUUGUAUUCUAUACUGUCUGUAGGGGUGAUGGGGAUUAGGUUGUAUACUAGACUGUCUGUAGGGGUGAUAGGGAUUAGGUUGUAUUCUAUACUGUCUGUAGGGGUGAUGGGGAUUAGGUUGUAUACUAUACUGUCUGUAGGGGUGAUAGGGAUUAGGUUGUAUACUAUGCUGUCUGUAGGGGUGAUGGGGAUUAGGUUGUAUACUAUACUGUCUGUAGGGGGAUGGGGAUUAGGUUGUAUACUAUACUGUCUGUAGGGGUGAUAGGGAUUAGGUUGUAUACUAUACUGUCUGUAGGGUUGAUGGGGAUUAGGUUGUAUUCUAUACUGUCUGUAGGGGUGAUGGGGAUUAGGUUUUAUACUAUACUGUCUGUAGGGGGAUAGGGAUUAUGUUGUAUACUGUCUGUAGGGGUGAUGGGGAUUAGGUUGUAUACUAUACUGUCUGUAGGGGUGAUGGGGAUUAGGUUGUAUACUAUGCUGUCUGUAGGGGUGAUAGGGAUUAGGUUGUAUACUAUACUGUCUGUAGGGGUGAUGGGGAUUAGGUUGUAUACUGUCUGUAGGGGUGAUGGGGAUUAGGUUGUAUACUGUCUGUAGGGGUGAUAGGGAUUAGGUUGUAUACUAUACUGUCUGUAGGGGUGAUGGGGAUUAGGUUGUAUACUAUACUGUCUGUAGGGGUGAUAGGGAUUAGGUUGUAUACUAUACUGUCUGUAGGGGUGAUGGGGAUUAGGUUGUAUACUAUACUGUCUGUAGGGGUGAUAGGGAUUAGGUUGUAUACUGUCUGUAGGGGGAUGGGGAUUAGGUUGUAUACUAUACUGUCUGUAGGGGUGAUGGGGAUUAGGUUGUAUACUAUACUGUCUGUAGGGGUGAUGGGGAUUAGGUUGUAUACUAUACUGUCUGUAGGGGUGAUGGGGAUUAG